CGCAAGCCUGACGGAGCAACGCCGCGUGUGGGAAGAAGGCUCUUGGGCUGUCAACCACUUUUCUCAGGGAAGAAGCCCUGACGGUACCUGAGGAAUCAGCCUCGGCUAACUCCGUGCCAGCAGCCGCGGUAAUACGGAGGAGGCAAGCGUUAUCCGGAAUUAUUGGGCGUAAAGCGUCCGCAGGGGGCACAUCAAGUCUGCUGUUAAAGCCCACAGCUCAACUGUGGAUCGGCAGUGGAAACUGAAUAACUUGAGAGUGGUAGGGGUAGAGGGAAUUCCCGGUGUAGCGGUGAAAUGCGUAGAUAUCGGGAAGAACACCAGUGGCGAAGGCGCUCUACUGGGCCGCGACUGACGCUGAGGGACGAAAGCUAGGGGAGCG
This 379-nucleotide ribosomal RNA is filed under the name uncultured cyanobacterium. Its description in RNAcentral is "bacterial SSU rRNA". It matches the Rfam family "Bacterial small subunit ribosomal RNA", at positions 376 to 770 of the family's 1533-position model. The record is from RNAcentral. Lineage: Bacteria; Bacillati; Cyanobacteriota.